UACAGAGGUCUCGAGCGUUGUUCGGAUUCAUUGGGCGUAAAGCGCGCGUAGGCGGCUACUUAAGUCGGAUGUGAAAGCCCUUGGCUCAACUGAGGAAGUGCACCCGAAACUGAGUGGCUAGAGUACGAAAGAGGGUCGCGGAAUUCCCGGUGUAGAGGUGAAAUUCGUAGAUAUCGGGAGGAACACCGGUGGCGAAGGCGGCGACCUGGGUCGAUACUGACGCUGAUGCGCGAAAGCGUGGGGAGCAAACAGG
Molecule: ribosomal RNA, 253 nt
Filed under: uncultured bacterium
Lineage: Bacteria
Description: partial 16S ribosomal RNA
Rfam family: Bacterial small subunit ribosomal RNA
Source: RNAcentral